RNAcentral lists this microRNA (22 nucleotides) under Gallus gallus (chicken). Its description in RNAcentral is "gga-miR-6664-3p". The record is from miRBase by way of RNAcentral. Lineage: Eukaryota; Metazoa; Chordata; Aves; Galliformes; Phasianidae.
CAGGAAUGGUGCUGGAGGCUGA